Molecule: ribosomal RNA, 430 nt
Filed under: uncultured bacterium
Lineage: Bacteria
Description: partial 16S ribosomal RNA
Rfam family: Bacterial small subunit ribosomal RNA
Source: RNAcentral
CCUACGGGUGGCUGCAGUCGAGAAUCUUCGUCAAUGGGGGAAACCCUGAACGAGCGACGCCGCGUGUGGGAUGAAGGCCUUUGGGUUGUAAACCACUGUCAGGGGGGAUGCAGAGCCCCAGAGGAAGCACGGGCUAAGUUCGUGCCAGCAGCCGCGGUAAUACGAACUGUGCGAACGUUAUUCGGAAUCACUGGGCUUACAGGGUGCGUAGGUGGCCGGACAAGUCAGGUGUGAAAUCCCUCAGCUCAACUGAGGAACUGCGCUUGAAACUGUUUGGCUAGAGUGAGCUAGGGGUGCUUGGAACUGCCAGUGGAGCGGUGAAAUGUGUUGAUAUUGGCAGGAACACCGGAGCCGAAAGGGAAGCACUGGGGCUACUGACACUGAGGCACGAAAGCCAGGGGAGCAAACGGGAUUAGAUACCCUUGUAGUC